RNAcentral lists this ribosomal RNA (1521 nucleotides) under human gut metagenome. RNAcentral describes it as "bacterial LSU rRNA". It matches the Rfam family "Bacterial large subunit ribosomal RNA", at positions 1351 to 2925 of the family's 2925-position model. The record is from RNAcentral.
UUUCCUGGGGAAGGUUCGUCCGCCCAGGGUAAGUCGGGACCUAAGGAGAGGCCGAGAGGCGUAUCCGAUGGACAGCAGGUAGAGAUUCCUGCACCACUGAUAUACUUAAAAGAUGCAAGGGACACAGAAGUGGAAGGAAAGCGAGGAAGAGGAAAAACUCGUAUCGAAAGAUAUAGUGAAACAAUAGUAACGAAUUUCCAAGAAGCACGCUGGCGAGAAAAGCUUGUAGAUAUUGUAUAUAAGUGCCCGUACCGCAAACCGACACAGGUAGAUGAGGAGAGGAUCCUAAGAUGAGCGAGAGAAGCAUUGUUAAGGAACUCGGCAAAUUGACCCCGUAACUUAGGGAGAAGGGGUGCCAAGGUAACACUUGGCCGCAGUGAAGAGGUUCAAGCAACUGUUUAACAAAAACACAGGUUUCUGCUAAAUCGAAAGAUGAAGUAUAGGAGCUGACGCCUGCCCAGUGCUGGAAGGUUAAGGGAAGAGGUUAGAUUAUAUCAAAGCUUCGAACUGAAGCCCCAGUGAACGGCGGCCGUAACUAUAACGGUCCUAAGGUAGCGAAAUUCCUUGUCAGGUAAGUUCUGACCCGCACGAAAGGCGUAAUGAUUUGAACACUGUCUCAACAAUGUACCCGGCGAAAUUGUAGUACUAGUGAAGAUGCUAGUUACCUGCGACAAGACAGAAAGACCCCAUGGAGCUUUACUGUAGCUUGAUACUGGGUUUUGAUAAUUUAUGUACAGGAUAGGUGGGAUACUAAGAAGCAAGUGCGCCAGCAUUUGUGGAGUAGACGUUGGGAUACCACUCUUAAAUUAUUGAAAUUCUAACCUGUGAUCAUGAACUGGUCAGGGGACAAUGUCAGGCGGGCAGUUUGACUGGGGCGGUCGCCUCCUAAAGAGUAACGGAGGCGCGCAAAGGUUUCCUCAGCGCGGACAGAAAUCGCGCGAAAGAGUGCAAAGGCAGAAGGAAGCUUAACUGAGAGACUGACAAGUCGACCAGAUACGAAAGUAGGUCUUAGUGAUCCGGUGGUUGUAAGUGGAAAUGCCAUCGCUCAACGGACAAAAGUUACCCUGGGGAUAACAGGCUUAUCUCCCCCAAGAGUUCACAUCGACGGGGAGGUUUGGCACCUCGAUGUCGGCUCAUCACAUCCUGGAGCGGAAGUACGUUCCAAGGGUUGGGCUGUUCGCCCAUUAAAGUGGUACGCGAGCUGGGUUCAGAACGUCGUGAGACAGUUCGGUCCUUAUCUGUCGCAGGCGGAGGAUAUUUGAAGGGAGUUGGCCCUAGUACGAGAGGACCAGGCUGAACGAACCUCUGGUGCACCAGUUGUCAUACCAAUGGCACAGCUGGGUAGCUAAGUUUGGAAGGGAUAAACGCUGAAAGCAUCUAAGUGUGAAGCCCACCUUAAGAUAAGAUAUCCCAUUGCGUAAGCAAGUAAGAUCCCAUGAAGACUACAUGGUAGAUAGGUUGGGGGUGUAAGUACAGUAAUGUAUUAAGCUGACCAAUACUAAUAAAUCGAGGGCUUAACCA